This 334-nucleotide ribosomal RNA is filed under the name uncultured fungus. RNAcentral's name for it is "eukaryotic LSU rRNA". The stretch from base 1 to 61 matches the Rfam family "5.8S ribosomal RNA", at positions 84 to 154 of the family's 154-position model. Lineage: Eukaryota; Fungi. The record is from RNAcentral.
GUGAAUCAUCGAAUCUUUGAACGCAACUUGCGCCCCCCGGGGCAUGUCUGCCUGAGUGUCGCAAAAACGUAUUGCUGGCUGAUUGGCGAUUGCUGGCUAAUUGGCGAUUGCUGAUCGAUCAGUGAUGAAUUGGGCAGGUCGCACUGCCUGAAAUGGAGCAAGAGGAGGGGCGCGUGGCUCCUGCUGCCGUGUCUAUAAGCCAGCGCAAUAGUCAAAAGCUAUUGCUGAGGUUUGGUCGCACUGGGACUCGCAUCCGAUCCAACUCAUUUCACUCUCUGACCCUUCAGGUCAGGCAAGACUACCCGCUGAACUUAAGCAUAUCAAUAAGGCGAGG